GACGAACGCUGGCGGCGUGCUUAACACAUGCAAGUCGAACGGAAAGGCCCUGCUUGCAGGGUACUCGAGUGGCGAACGGGUGAGUAACACGUGGGUGAUCUGCCCUGCACUUCGGGAUAAGCUUUGGAAACUGGGUCUAAUACCGGAUAGGAGCCAUCUUUAGUGUGGUGGUUGGAAAGUUUUUUCGGUGUAGGAUGAGCUCGCGGCCUAUAAGCUUGUUGGUGGGGUAAUGGCCUACCAAGGCGGCGACGGGUAGCCGGCCUGAGAGGGUGUACGGCCACAUUGGGACUUAGAUACGGCCCAGACUGCUACGGGAGGCAGCAGUGGGGAAUAUUGCACAAUGGGCGCAAGCCUGAUGCAGCGACGCCGCGUGGGGGAUGAAGGCCUUCGGGUUGUAAACUCCUUUCGCUAGGGACGAAGCUUUUUGUGACGGUACCUAGAUAAGAAGCACCGGCUAACUACGUG
RNAcentral lists this ribosomal RNA (465 nucleotides) under uncultured bacterium. RNAcentral's name for it is "partial 16S ribosomal RNA". It matches the Rfam family "Bacterial small subunit ribosomal RNA", at positions 28 to 507 of the family's 1533-position model. The record is from RNAcentral.